This 75-nucleotide transfer RNA is filed under the name Mus musculus (house mouse). It matches the Rfam family "tRNA". Rfam says of the family: Transfer RNA (tRNA) molecules are approximately 80 nucleotides in length. Their secondary structure includes four short double-helical elements and three loops (D, anti-codon, and T loops). The record is from Rfam by way of RNAcentral. Lineage: Eukaryota; Metazoa; Chordata; Mammalia; Rodentia; Muridae.
GUAGCUGUAGCUCAGCAGGAGAGCGUUUGCAGUCAGCACGAGUGAGAGGUCCUGGGUUCAAUUCCCACAGCUGCA